CUACGGGGGGCUCCAGUGGGGAAUCUUGGACAAUGGGCGCAAGCCUGAUCCAGCCAUGCCGCGUGAGUGAAGAAGGCCUUAGGGUCGUAAAGCUCUUUCGCCAGAGAUGAUAAUGACAGUAUCUGGUAAAGAAACCCCGGCUAACUCCGUGCCAGCAGCCGCGGUAAUACGGAGGGGGUUAGCGUUGUUCGGAAUUACUGGGCGUAAAGCGCGCGUAGGCGGAUUAGUCAGUCAGAGGUGAAAUCCCAGGGCUCAACCCUGGAACUGCCUUUGAUACUGCUAGUCUUGAGUUCGAGAGAGGUGAGUGGAAUUCCGAGUGUAGAGGUGAAAUUCGUAGAUAUUCGGAGGAACACCAGUGGCGAAGGCGGCUCACUGGCUCGAUACUGACGCUGAGGUGCGAAAGUGUGGGGAGCAAACAGGAUUAGAUACCCGCGUAGUC
RNAcentral lists this ribosomal RNA (439 nucleotides) under uncultured bacterium. RNAcentral's name for it is "partial 16S ribosomal RNA". It matches the Rfam family "Bacterial small subunit ribosomal RNA", at positions 339 to 795 of the family's 1533-position model. The record is from RNAcentral.